UGGGGAAUAUUGGACAAUGGGCGCAAGCCUGAUCCAGCCAUGCCGCGUGAGUGAUGAAGGCCCUAGGGUUGUAAAGCUCUUUCACCGGUGAAGAUAAUGACGGUAAUCGGAGAAGAAGCCCCGGCUAACCUCGUGCCAGCAGCCGCGGUAAUACGAAGGGGGCUAGCGUUGUUCGGAUUUACUGGGCGUAAAGCGCACGUAGGCGGACUUUUAAGUCAGGGGUGAAAUCCCGGGGCUCAACCCCGGAACUGCCUUUGAUACUGGAAGUCUUGAGUAUGGUAGAGGUGAGUGGAAUUCCGAGUGUAGAGGUGAAAUUCGUAGAUAUUCGGAGGAACACCAGUGGCGAAGGCGGCUCACUGGACCAUUACUGACGCUGAGGUGCGAAAGCGUGGGGAGCAAACAGG
Molecule: ribosomal RNA, 404 nt
Filed under: Actinomycetes bacterium
Lineage: Bacteria; Bacillati; Actinomycetota; Actinomycetes
Description: Actinobacteria bacterium partial 16S ribosomal RNA
Rfam family: Bacterial small subunit ribosomal RNA
Source: RNAcentral